AAGUUGUUCUAGUUUUGUAACUAAAAUGGUUUGGCAGUGAGCGAUUCUUAUUAGGGGAAUAUGCAUAGUGAAGGAUGGUCCACCUAUUAGUUUACUCUUUUUAUGUUGGUGUAUGUCUGGUUUGAUAUUAUUGUUGAAUAAUUUAAGUUUGUGUAGUUUUAGUUAAGCUAAGUCUAUGUGCUGCUUAUGGGAGUUUUUGUGUGUUACAUUAAUAAGGGUGUUAUUGUAAGAUGAUGUGAUUUAGGACUUA
This 250-nucleotide ribosomal RNA is filed under the name Echinococcus granulosus. RNAcentral's name for it is "partial 12S ribosomal RNA". Lineage: Eukaryota; Metazoa; Platyhelminthes; Cestoda; Cyclophyllidea; Taeniidae. The record is from RNAcentral.